Gallus gallus (chicken) is the source of this 2001-nucleotide long non-coding RNA. Lineage: Eukaryota; Metazoa; Chordata; Aves; Galliformes; Phasianidae. The record is from Ensembl.
GGAAGGCUCACACCUUGCUGGGCCUCAGCGUGGUUUCUCUCUAACAAAACCCCAUCUGGCUAAUGCUGUUCUAAUAAGGGAGAAACUGGGACUUAAUGAAAGUUAGAAAUAAUUGGAGUGCUGUAAGCUGCUCACCCCGAAAACUGAGUUAGGAGAAAUCCUGCUAGGGUCCUGCCUUGGAAAUCUGGUCUGAAAGUCAGUGGAAUAUACGUGACAGAUGGAUGGACAGAUGGAUGGUGGUAGCCAACCCAAUGGUUAUUGAGCCUCCCUGGUGGACCUUCCCAGCCCAACCCAAGCACCUGGAUGAGCCCAGCCCUGCUGUUCCAGAAGGUGUGAAGAUUGAACUCCUCCACAUUCCUCCCUUGGGAGCAAGGACAGAGUGAAAUGAAGCUCAGAGAUGUCCACUUUCUGCACUCGGUGGCUGGCUACAACAUAAGUCUUCGCACAGGAUUUAGAGGUGAAAGAAGUUGCGCUCGAAGCUUCAUUACACCGCUUUGAUGCUGAAGUAAGAAUUCCCACAGCGAAGAUGGACAGAGCAAGACUGACAGAACCAGCCACAUUUUCAUUAUUAAUAUCAGAACUGCACGCAGUCGGAAAGCAGAAAGGACUGAAGAAUUUCAUAGCCCAAAUACCUACAGAAUAAUAAUAAUAAAAUCCCAGAGUGUCACAGUACAGCCCAAUGUGCCUUUUGGAAAUGCUGCCAUUCCAGAUAGCAGGGGAAACACAAAUCCAGCCCAGUUACCAUGGAAAUGUACAGUAUACCUCCAAAAUGCAAAGCCACCUGGCUGACCCAGAGAACUUCUUUGAGAUGAGCAUGGUAGCCCAAUAGCAAACAGCUGUCAAACAUCUCUGUGAUGACAGACUGCAUGGAAAGCAGAAGCCAGCACCACCAUCAGCUUAGUGAGCUGGAGAUGACCCAGCAAUCCUUUUCUUACACAACCCACCAAAGCUACUGCUACAACCAGUGGAGCUGGUUUUAGCAAGAGUGGAAGAUCUGUGGAGGGAAAGGAAAUGCUCAGAAGCCAAACAAUCUAAUGCAGCAUCUGAAAUGGUGCUGCAUGUCUUUUCAGUUAAAUGACUCUCAAUGCAAUGUUCACCCAGGGGUGUAUUUGUUGAUGGGACAGAGACUUAGGAAAAUGGCACUGGAAAGAAAUCAUCUCCUUGAGCAUCCUGCGGUGCCCAGCAGGAGAGGCCCCAACUGCCUCGUGCCUCGAAGUGGGCGCUGCUGUGCCCACCAGGAACAGGGCAGCCAUCUCAGCGCCAAAGCCAUCCCCACCUCCCACCGGCUGGAUCCAAGCCUGAUCCUGGGCAGCAGUUACACGGUCAGGGCUGCUCUGCUCAGAAACCAACACGAGACAUUACAAAAGGAUUUUUCUGAAGAUGUAAAACAGCACCCAGGGAACAACUCAGGAAGGAGGCAUCGAGAACUAAAAUGCUGGAAUUUGGGAAAGUCUCCAAAACCUCAGAAUUUCAUAUAUAUUUGGUAUAGUAAGUGUAGCAGUGAAUUUAAAUCUCAUUAUCCGUUGCUGCUAAAAACAGGAAUGUAACUGAAAGUUUUGGGCAAUUCCAGCAUCCAUCAUCAGUACUCAGGCAUAGGCCUGAUUUCUCUGAGACUCUGAAGUAAUUUAAUACUGUGGAUUUUAUAAAGUAUACUUAUCCUUCAAUAAAUCCGUAAUAACUGCUUCUUUCAUUGCAUAUUAUGAACUUCCAAGUUACACUGUCAGCUGUUAAGCAGAGUCUCCCACACUUUAGUGAAAGCAAGAAAGCUUCCAGCAAGGAAGUGUCAUGGAGAUGAGGCACUAAUGGACUCCACAGAACCACAGACUGGUUGAGGUGGGCAGGGACCAGAGGGAUUCCUCCACUCCAGCUCCACUCAGAGCAAGGUGCCCAGGGCCGUCUCCAGGUGGGUUUGGAGAUUUCCAUGGAGAAGAACCCACAGCCUCUCUGGGUACUUGUGCCAGGAGCCCUUACAUUAUAGGAUCUGCAGAGAAACCAUGCUAA